Molecule: ribosomal RNA, 465 nt
Filed under: uncultured bacterium
Lineage: Bacteria
Description: partial 16S ribosomal RNA
Rfam family: Bacterial small subunit ribosomal RNA
Source: RNAcentral
GAUGAACGCUGGCGGCGUGCUUAACACAUGCAAGUCGAACGGAAAGGCCACAGCUUGCUGUGGUACUCGAGUGGCGAACGGGUGAGUAACACGUGGGUGAUCUGCCCUGUACUUCGGGAUAAGCUUGGGAAACUGGGUCUAAUACCGGAUAGGAAUCACAUGUGGGUGUGUGGUUGGAAAGCUUUUGCGGUAUGGGAUGAGCUCGCGGCCUAUCAGCUUGUUGGUGGGGUAAUGGCCUACCAAGGCGUCGACGGGUAGCCGGCCUGGGGGGGUGUACGGCCACAUUGGGACUGGGGUACGGCCCAGACUCCUACGGGAGGCAGCGGUGGGGACUAUUGCACAAUGGGCGCAAGCCUGAUGCAGCGACGCCGGGUGGGGAAUGACGGCCUUCGGGUGGUAAACUCCUUUCGUCAGGAACGAAGCGAAAGUGACGGUACCUGGAUAAGAAGAACCGGCUAACUACGU